CAAUCGACUGAUUCAAACCUGUAGAAGACAGGACAUUUAUUUUAUUUUGCAUAAAACAAACUGCAAUUCAACAACUUGCAAUAUACAGUAAAAAAAAUCCCCUCUGUUCCAGUCAGAUCACACCAGCCUGGCAUGGGAUGCUGCAACUUGCUUGCUGGAUGAGCAAGGAACAUUAUGAGAAUCAAGGCUUUAUGGAAACUAUCAAGAAUCCAAUAAUGCUGGCCAGGCACACCCUGAGAGAUGACUGAGUCUUGGGCUGUCAUAAUGACAACUUGAUCUUGGAUUUCUGUACUUUGUACAAAUACAUAUAUUUUUGGUCAAAAUCUGUUAUUUUUAUAUAAUUUUCCUUCUCUGAAACAUAAAAGUAAUAUCAAAAAUCAAAUACAUCAUUUCAUUUUUUCCUGAUUAGUACUAGGGGACAUCUAUUCAGUAGUACCUUGCACAUUGUCUGGCAGGUUAAAUGUGGAAUACUGCAGCCAGUAUUGUGCUGAGAAAUGCCUGGGUCCUACUGCGUAGAAGCCAUUUCAACCCCAAGGUCCACCAGUAAAUGUUCCAGAUAUAAAUUAAAGUGGAUAUUCUAUUAAAACACCCCUUUCGAGUUACUGCAGUAUCAAGUAUGUGCAAUAUCAGGUUUGAUUUAUUUAAAUAAAGGGGAGGCAUAAGAAAAUGAAAUGGAACCCAUCAUUAGGAAGAAGAAAAUAUUAUAAAUACAGAGAUAAGGUGCUAAUAACAGAGAACAAUAUGGUAUUAAUAUGGUGAGUAAGAGGUAAUAAUGGAAGAAAUAAGAAUUUGAAAGGUAAUAUGGAAGCAUGGCCAUCCUUUAGGGUGUUUGUGAGCAGUCACAUGGGGCAGUAUAAGUGCUGGUUCCAUAUUCUUCUAGAGACAUGCUUGAAACACACAAAUUACAUUAAAUGAGUAUUUUUCGAUAUCAUCCUCUAGGUGUGCACUGAAAGCCAAGAUACUGUAGUGAUUUUUCAAGCAGACAGUAGAUAAAGGGACCACUGUGAUUAUACUUAUUUUAUUCUUAUUCUGCCUUACUAAUAGUCGAUGGGCAGUCAGUGCACUAUGUUGUUUGGAAGUUAAAGAGAGCAUGUGAAAGUUCAAGCAGAAAAAAAGAAGAGAAUGAUUAUAAUGAUAGGCAGGGGUUCUAAGAAAAAAUAAAGGAGAGAUAGAGAAAUUAAGAGAUGGAAAUAAUUUAAAAAUAAUACAUAAACACAUAGAAUGUAAGUAAUGGUAAAUUCUAAGGGAGAAAGCUGAUAAACUGAAAAAAAAAUUGUUCUUGUGUGGUACAUGGUAAAGUAUAGAUGGAACCAUAAGGUGCAGUUUAUUACAAUGCCAAGAAGCUAUUUACUAUUUAUACAAGGUCUGGCUACUGCAUUUCCCAGAGAGCUCAUAUUCCCUACUAUAAGUUUAAGUCAGAAUCAUUGGGGGGGGAAAGGGGGUUUUAGAGCGUGAAUGGGUCAGUGAUUCACUUAAAGAGUCAAUGUAAACAACAUAUAAUAGGUUAUGCCAUUUAGCUCAUGACUGCUUUAUGUUUAAUUUAAAAUGAGACAUCCAUAAGAUCAUAUAUAGUUAUACCUUAAUGGUCCAGUCAGCAAACAAUGUCCUUACACAGGUGAAUGUUUUAUAUCAGGGUUGUCUAGGUGUCCAGGGUCAAAUGCUGACCCCUAAAGGAUUUUUAUGGUCCCAGCCUGCUCAAAAGAUUUGGAAACUGGAAUCAAUUGUUUAUUCUGUGUAUAGUAACAUUUGUAAUUAUAUAUUGAAAUUAAAAUAUUUCCUUGGACUCUUA
Long non-coding RNA from Xenopus tropicalis (tropical clawed frog), 1789 nucleotides. RefSeq lists it as uncharacterized. Lineage: Eukaryota; Metazoa; Chordata; Amphibia; Anura; Pipidae. The transcript is spliced from 3 exons. The record is from RefSeq and is a predicted model, not a curated record.